CAGCCGCCACGGGAAUACGUAGGUGGCGAGCGUUGUCCGGAUUUAUUGGGCGUAAAGGGAGUGUAGGCGGUCUUUUAAGUCUGAUGUGAAAGCCCACGGCUCAACCGUGGAGGGUCAUUGGAAACUGGGAGACUUGAGUGCAGAAGAGGAGAGUGGAAUUCCACGUGUAGCGGUGAAAUGCGUAGAGAUGUGGAGGAACACCAGUGGCGAAGGCGACUCUCUGGUCUGUAACUGACGCUGAGGAGCGAAAGCGUGGGGAGCGAACAGGAUUAGAUACCCGCGUAGUCCCUGUCUCUUAUAC
This 301-nucleotide ribosomal RNA is filed under the name uncultured bacterium. RNAcentral describes it as "partial 16S ribosomal RNA". It matches the Rfam family "Bacterial small subunit ribosomal RNA", at positions 509 to 807 of the family's 1533-position model. The record is from RNAcentral.